This 332-nucleotide unclassified non-coding RNA is filed under the name soil metagenome. RNAcentral describes it as "partial contains 5.8S ribosomal RNA, internal transcribed spacer 2, and large subunit ribosomal RNA". The stretch from base 1 to 120 matches the Rfam family "5.8S ribosomal RNA", at positions 35 to 154 of the family's 154-position model. The record is from RNAcentral.
GAUGAAGAACGCAGCAAAAUGCGAUAAGUAAUGUGAAUUGCAGAAUUCAGUGAAUCAUCGAAUCUUUGAACGCACAUUGCGCCCGCCAGUAUUCUGGCGGACAUGCCUGUUCGAGCGUCAUUUCAACCCUCAAGCACAGCUUGGUGUUGGGACUCGCGUUAAUUCGCGUUCCCCAAAUUGAUUGGCGGUCACGUCGAGCUUCCAUAGCGUAGUAGUAAAACCCUCGUUACUGGUAAUCGUCGCGGCCACGCCGUUAAACCCCAACUUCUGAAUGUUGACCUCGGAUCAGGUAGGAAUACCCGCUGAACUUAAGCAUAUCAAUAAGCGGAGGA